Molecule: transfer RNA, 73 nt
Filed under: Camelus bactrianus (Bactrian camel)
Lineage: Eukaryota; Metazoa; Chordata; Mammalia; Artiodactyla; Camelidae
Also listed under: 1 other name
Rfam family: tRNA
About the family: Transfer RNA (tRNA) molecules are approximately 80 nucleotides in length.
Source: Rfam by way of RNAcentral
GAGGGUAUAGCUCAAGUGGUAGAGCGCAUGCUUAACAUGCAUGAGGUCCUGGGUUCAAUCCCUAGUAGCUCCU